Molecule: non-coding RNA, 101 nt
Organism: Daucus carota subsp. sativus
Lineage: Eukaryota; Viridiplantae; Streptophyta; Magnoliopsida; Apiales; Apiaceae
Source: Rfam
AGGAGCCGUGUGAGAUGAAAGUCUCAUGCACGGUUUUGAAUGAGAGAAAGAAGUGAGGAAUCUUUGAAAAAAUGUUUCUCAAUAUCAUUUAUUAACAUUAU